GUUUUUCGUUUUUGUUUUAGUCUAAGUAGUAAACGUUCACUCGUUAGAUCAUUUUAACGAACGGUUUUUGUUCGUUUAGUUCUGUUAACGAACGUUCGUUCCGUAGAUUUUUCUUUUUCUGUUUAUUUUCGUCUAGGGACCUAUGCGUAGUUACUUUUAUCGCAGAUUAGUCCCUGAUCUUCAAACCCUUGCAACUUUUUGCUCGUUUAUCCAAAUCCAGUGAAACAACCGCCAGAAUCUUCGUCUUGUUCCCCUCUAUCCAGAUAAUCAACUUGAAUCUGAUUUUGAAAAUUUUAAAUUUGGUUUCAAGCAGAUUUGUUUUCGAAUUUGUUUAUUGUAGUUUGAGUUUCGUAACUCCGAUUCGAUUGAUUCUUUUUGCAAAUCGAAGCUCUUCACUUGUAAUUCUGUUUAGAUCUUUUCUUUUGGUUCUAACCUUGCAUCUUAUGCUUCAGUGCUUAUGUAUGCAAUUGUUUGUUCACGAUAGAGUUUCCGGAGUGCGAGGCUUGCUACUACGAAUCUCUAGGGUUUUCCGAUCGUCAGCAAGGCAAGUAACACUUUGAUCAUAUCCCUUUAUUACCCAGUUUUUAUGCAUUAGUUCCAACCCUCAAACAUUGCAUGAGUAGGAUUGUAACAUGUGGGUUUGGGAAGUAGCUGAUGAGGUAGAACCUAUUGUCUUAUAUUCAAACCUUGGGAGUUGCCACAUUAUGCUUAUACUGCUAUGCUAUGCUCGUAGACGUGGAUUGGUUUGAGUGAUUCAUGAUAGAUGUGAGAGUUAUUAUUAAUUAAUUGUUAACUUAAGGUGGCUAUUUUAAUAUACAUCUGGGUGGAUUGGUUGCGGGCACCUGGAGAAUCCAGUGUUGUCUUAGGGGAUCCCGGAGUACCCGUGUGAUCAUCCUAUGGUUUGCCACCCAGGCUUAAAGGGAUCAUUGAAAGACUGUGUCUCGAUCAUCCAUUUCUCAAACAUCAUGUAGUGCAAGAAAUUCAAUGGAUGAGAUCGAGUCUUGUGGGGAAAAGUGUGGAAACCUCUGCAGAGUGUAUAAACUAAUCAUGGUUAGCCGUGUCCCCGGUUAUGGACAUCUUGAGUAUCUGGUACUUGAAUUAUUGAUUUGAUCUCAUCACUUUACUUAAUGAAUUUGUUGGGUUAAAAAUUACUAUUUUGGGAUUGAGUUGGAGGAACCUUCUCAAUAAUUUCAACCAACUUUGUAGUUAAAUAAAAUAUAUUCCUUUGUUGUAGGAAAAAACUAGCUUUAUGCAAAUGAUAACCGUAGAGCCUCCACCAGUCGUAUAUGCAUGUAGUGAUAGCUGUUAUUCUGUUCACUGCUCUAUAGUGUUAUCUUGCCAGCAUAUUCCAUGUGCUGACCUACACAGGCUGCAACGUAUUAUGUUGCAGAAUUUUCAGAUGAAGAGUAAGGUGCACUAGGUCGUUGUCGUGCACUCAGUAUUGUCGUGGAGUUGGAUGGACUCAUUUAUCUUCGAAGCUUCCACAGUUAUCUUAUUUAGAUGGCCUUCAGCCAUGUUAUUGUAAUAAGUUCUCUUUUGAGACAUUCGAUGUAAUAAGUGUGUGAUUGAACUCUGAAAUAAAUCCUCGAGUACUGUGUGUGUUAGCAAUACCGAUCCAGGGAUGACACUUAAGCACAGAGACUUAACCGUCUAAGGUCGGGUCGCUACAAGAUGGUAUCAGAGCACACACUGUCUGUAGGACGUGACCACUAGGAUAAGCCACAUGAUACUCUUCUCUACUCAUUUCUGACUCUUCUCCAUUCUCCACUCUAUAGAUGGCGGACCCAAGGAACAAGUUCACUCAACCGGAUGAUGAAACACCUUUUGGACGACACUUGAAGGAAGUCACUAGGUACCUGAGCAUCGGAAUACCAAGCUUCACCGGGACCUACACCGCCACUCUACCAGAAGAAGAGCGCUGGACGAUUCGAUUUCAUGUUCCAGGAAGGACGUUCGCACCAGUUACUGAGCCCAUAUAGAGUUUUCCUUUGAUGCACCAACCUGGAGUCUAGGAAAGAGCAUGGCCGCCCACAUCGCCAUGCGACGCAUCGGCGAGGUAUACAACAAGGAUCUUAAGGACACCAUCUACCACAUAUGUGGACGCCGAGAUGAGCAAUGGGAGAUGAUUUGCACCAGGAAGGACAAAUCCAUUGCAGCCUACAUCCAGGAGUUGAAUCAGCACAUUCGUCAUCAGGAGAACCAGAUGUGCGCCAACAUGAUAGACAUGAAGAAGGUGAUGACCAGGAACAUGGAGCGAGAAGAGGAACUCAAGUCUACACGCGAUGGAUAUGAAGAGGAAAUUGCAGUACUACUGGAGAAGAAUGAAGACCUGGAGAAGAAGAAGCUAGGAAUAUUCAUGGGAGAUCCCGAACCUGAGGAAGUCUACAUCAUAAUCGACGACACCGACUCGACUCCGACCCCGAUAGUGAUGAUGAUUAUGAAGACGAAGCUGGAUCAGAUAUCAUGGAGUCUUCCACCGAUCAAAAUUUCUAGUCGACCACCAUAUUAUCAGUAGUAUUCCCCCAUGUAUAUAAUAAUAGUCCGAGCAUUUUGUAAUGGUAGUUUAGAUCGAUUGUAUGAUCUUGUUUGAAUUGAGUGCUGUGAAAUGAAUGUGUUUGUCUCAUGUGCAUAUGGGCAGUGAUUUCCCUUUAGACCUCACUCUAUUAUGUUCUCACCCCUCUAAACCUAUCAGAUGCCUCCGAGACGUGACCCCGGAUUUGUCUUCCCACCGGAGCUCACUCAGUUGAUCCAACAGCAGAAUGCCUUGAUGCAGUUGCUAGUCCAGAACCAAGGCAAAAACAACAACAACAACAACAACCCACCGCCGCCACCUCCAGUGGACAACUUAGCCCGUUUUCUGAGGCUGAAUCCGCCGGUGUUCUCUAGUAGCACUGAGCUGAUUGUUGCUGAUGACUGGAUCCACAGGAUUGGAAGGGAGCUGACCACCGCAGGUUGCACAGAUGCUGAGAAGGUAUGCUUUGCCGCACAUCAACUGGAUGGACCCGCAGCCUCAUGGUGGGAGAACUACACUGCCACUUUCCCCGUGGCCAAUGUCACUUGGGAUCAGUUUCAGCAAGCAUUCCGCACUGCACAUGUUAUAGCUGGAGCUAUGAGUAUGAAGAAGCGUGAGUUUCGCAACUUACGCCAGGGAAAUCGUACUGUGGCGCAAUACAUGGAUGAGUUCAGCAAGUUAGCCCGUUAUGCCCCAGAUGAUGUGGUCACAGAUGCUGCAAAGCAUGAGAAGUUUAUGGAGGGGCUUAAUGAUGAGCUGAGUAUGCAGUUGAUGGUGGCAACAUUCACUAACUAUCAGGAGCUGGUAGACAGGGCUCUCAUGAUUGAAGGCAAGCAGCAGUAGAUUGAGAACCGCAAACGAAAGUAUGGACAAGGGAAGUACAACUCUGGAGCUCAGCAGAAGCCUCAUUUUACCCCAAACUCGGGAGGGCAUACCCAUCAUAACCAUGGAGGCCACACUCACAAUGGAGGAAUCCCACAUAACCACAGUGGCCCUAAGAAUGGAAAUGGGAAUGGAGGAAGCAGCAGUCUGAGCCGUUUCAACCCCACUACACCCGCCAAGAAGGAUCUAAGUCACAUUACUUGUUUCAAGUGCGGGAAGACUGGACACUAUGCCAUUGAGUGUCCUGAAGCAAAGAAUGGAAACGACAAUGGAAGAUCAGGAAAGAAGCCAAAUCCCUUCACCAGAGGUCAGGUGAACCACAUCAACGUGGAGGAAGUCGAAGAGCAGCCCGAUGCAGUGAUUGGUAAGUUUUUAAUUAAUUCAUUUACUGCUCUUGUUCUUUUUGACACUGGUGCAUCGCAUUCAUACAUCUCAAAGGGAUUUGUGGACAAGUUUAAGUUGCCAACCUUAGCCCUUAGGUCACCCAUGUUAGUAAGCUCGCCAGGAGCGGAGUAUAUGGCCAGCCGAUGGUGUGAUCGGUUACCUUUAACCAUUGGUAGCCACGUUUUCCCCUCAGACUUAAUAAUUUUGGAGUCACAAGGAUUGGAUAUAAUACUAGGCAUGGAUUGGCUAUCGAAGUAUGGAGGAAACAUCGACUAUGCUAGUAAGUCGAUACUACUCACCACCCCUGAAGGAAAGAGGAUCAAGUAUGUAUCCAGACAUGCGCCAAGGAGGACUCAAGUAAAUUCCCUCUCGGGAGUUGUUCAGGAGGAAGUGCCAGUUGUAAAGGAUUACCCUGAUGUUUUUCCAGAGGAAUUACCAGGCAUGCCACUAGAUCGAGAUAUAGAAUUUUUGAUAGAGUUGUUACCAGGCACCAGACCAAUAUCGAAGAGACCGUAUCGGAUGCCCGCGAAUGAUCUGGAAGAGAUUAAGAAGCAUAUUAAGGAGUUAUUGGAGAAAGGUUAUAUUCGACCAAGUUCAUCACCGUGGGGAGCUCCAGGUCUCUUAGUUGAGAAGAAGGAUGGAUCUUUGAGAAUGGUUGUUGAUUAUCGUGCAUUGCAUGAGGUAACGAUCAAGAACAAGUACCCACUACCGAUGAUCAAUGAUUUGUUUGACCAGCUGCAGGGAGCUAAAGUAUUCUCCAAGAUCGAUCUUCGAUCAGGAUACCACCAGCUAAAGAUCCGAGAACAGGAUAUACCUAAGACAACUUUUACCACAAGGUACAUGCUAUAUGAGUACACGGUCAUGUCUUUUGGAUUGACUAACGCCCCUGCCUAUUUCAUGAGUAUGAUGAAUAAGGUGUUCAUGGAGUUCUUGGAUAAGUUUGUUGUGGUGUUCAUUGAUGAUAUAUUAGUAUUCUCGAAGAAUGAAGAGGAACACAAGGAACAUUUGCGAUUAGUUCUCGAGAAGCUCAGAGAACAUCAGUUAUAUGCCAAAUUCAGCAAAUGCGGGUUUUGAAGGAAGUUGGAUUUAUUGGACAUGUUAUAUCAGGAGAAGGUAUAGCAGUAGACCCUACCAAGGUUCAGUCUGUUACUGAGUGGUUGGCACCCACCUUAGUUGGUGAGAUCCGUAGUUUUCUUGGACUCGCAGGAUAUUAUAGGAGAUUCAUUGAGAAUUUUUCCAAGAUUGCGAAGCCCAUGACAGAGUUGUUGAAGAAAGACACCAAGUUCAAAUGGACCAAAGAAUGUGAGGCCAGUUUUCAGGAGUUGAAGAAACGUUUAAUUACGCAAGGACUUCCAAGUAUAUUGCGACGCUUCUCGCCUGGGACUUGGAGGUGUACUUAUGCAAGAUGGAAGAGUUGUUUCAUAUGCCUCACGUCAGCUUCGACCUCAUGAGUUGAAUUAUGCCACGCAUGAUUUGGAGUUGGCAGCCGUAGUGCAUGCACUCAAGACCUGGAGACAUUUUCUUAUUGGCAACCGUUGUGAUGUUUACACGGAUCAUAAGAGCUUGAAGUAUAUCUUCACGCAGAAGGAGUUGAAUCUCAGGUAAAGGAGAUGGUUGGAGCUCAUAAAGGAUUAUGAUACGAAGCUGCAUUAUCAUCCACGAAAGGCCAAUGUUGUAGCAGACGCCUUAAGCCGCAAGAGUUAUGUAAAUACUCUCGUAACCGGAGGAUUACCCCAGGAGUUAGCCGAAGAUCUCAGGGAACUUCGUUUGGAGAUAGUUCCUAGAGGUUUUGUUGCAGCAUUGGAGGUUCGGUCCACCCUGUUGGGAAAGAUUUGAGAAGUCCAGAAGUCUGAUAAGGAGAUUUUGGAGAUAAAGGAGAAGAUGAGUAGAGGAAAGGCCAAAGGUUUUCGUGAAGACGAACACGAAACUUUAUGGUUUGAGGAUCAUAUUUAUGUGCCCAAUGACCCAGAGAUCAGGAAGUUAAUACUUCAGGAAGCUCAUGACUCGCCAUACUCGUUUCACCUCGAAAACACUAAUAUGUAUUUGGAUUUGAAGGAACGUUUCUGGUGGACAGGUAUGAAGAAGGAUAUUGCCGAGUAUGUAGCAGUAUGUGAUGUAUGUCAGAGAGUUAAGGCAGAACACCAGAAGCCAGCAGGAUUACUACAUCCUAUUCCGAUACCCGAAUGGAAGUGGGAUAAACUUGGCAUGGGUUUCAUCACCGGAUUACCCAGGACACGAUCAGGUUAUGAUUCCAUCUGGGUAGUAGUUGAUCGCUUGACCAAAGUGGCUCACUUUAUCCCUGUGAAAACCACUUAUACAAGCGCGAAGUUGGCCAAGAUAUAUAUGACCAGGAUCGUAUGUCUGCAUGGAGUUCCGAGGACCAUCGUAUCAGAUAGAGGAACACAGUUUACUUCAAAUUUUUGGAAUCAGUUGCACCAGACUUUGGGUACCAGGCUAGAGUUCAGUACAGCCUUUCAUCCGCAGACAGAUGGACAGACCGAGAGAGUCAAUCAGAUUCUGGAAGACAUGUUGAGAGCUUGUGCGCUAGAUUAUGGAUCUAGUUGGGAUGAUAAUUUGCCUUACGCAGAGUUCUCUUACAACAACAACUACCAAGCUAGUUUGAAGAUGGCCCCUUUUGAAGCCUUAUAUGGAAGGAGGUGCAGGACACCAUUGAUGUGGGAUGAAGUUGGAGACCGUCAGUUGUUCAGACCAGAUUUAAUCAAAGAGUCUGAAGAGAAGGUUAAGUUGAUUCAUGAUAGACUGAAGGUAGCUCAGUCCAGGCAGAAGAGUUAUGCCGAUACUAAACGCAAGGAGGUAACCUAUGAAAUCGGAGACAGAGCAUAUCUCCGUGUGUCACCACUGCGAGGAGUUAAACGAUUUGGAGUCAAAGGAAAGUUAGCCCCAAGAUUUGUAGGACCAUACCGAGUUCUGGAACGUAUGGGAGAAGUGGCCUACAAGUUGGAGUUACCCGAAGGAUUGUCAGGAGUUCAUGAUGUGUUUCACGUUUCCCAGUUGAAGAAGUGUCAUGCAGAGAUGGCCGAUAUUCCUCUGAGAGAUACAGUGCCCCUGGAAGCAAUUCAGUUGGAGAGUGACCUAACCUACGAGGAGAAACGCAUCAAGAUUCUCGAGUUUGCCAGCCGAGUUACAUGCAGCAAGGUUAUCAAGUUUUUGCAAAUUUCAGUGGAGCCACCAUACCGAGGAGGAAGCCAUGUGGGAGCGAGAAGAAGACCUACGGAAAGACCACCCACACCUAUUUUCUAGCCAACCCGAAUCUCGAGGGCGAGAUUCAUCUUAAGGGGGGUAGGUUUGUAACAUCCCAAUUUUCAAUUUGGAUGUUAUACAUAGAUCAUCAGAUGCAUAUCAUAUUUUAUUUGCAUUUUGGUUGUGAUCCUACAAAUCUUAAGCAACUCAAGGACCCAAGGAGAGAGUUGGAGGUUUCACUAAAUUUUCAUAUUUGAAUUUAAUUCAAAUUUGAAAAGAGGAUCAAUUUGAUUUUAAUAGUUUCUCUCCAAUUAUUUCCAACAAUAAAAAUAAAUGAGAGAAGAUAAUAUGACUUCUUCAACAGAAGAGAAAUAUUGGAGAAGAAAUUUUAAAAUCAAAUUAUUAUUUUAUUUGUAUUUUAUUUGCUAUUUUAUUUGAAUUAGGAAAAAAAUGCAUUUUUGAAAAAUGCAUUUUAACCCAGAAAAAUGUUCACUUUGUCCUAAAUAUUAGUAGAGGACAGUGAAAAUUAUCUCUGGAAUUUUAGGAUUUUUAUUUUAUUUUAUUUGGAUUUUUCUUCGCGGCGAGAUUAUUUAAAAGAAACUCCGGACCGAACUGGGCCGAAGCCGAGCAGAGCGCCGCCGCCUGUUCCUCCCGUGCGGAUGCCGGACUCCGGUGAGGAGGAGUCCGGAUCGGUCUCCCCGCGCCCCAUCGCGCAAGCCGAGGACCCCUCAGGGCCUCCUUAUAAGCCUCGCUGCCCCGCCCUCUUCUCCUAAUCACCCGCACCACCGCCGCCCCGCAGCCGAGUCGCGCCGCCGCCGCCCCGCACCGCCACCCGCCUCGCCGACGCCCCUCACCGGAGCCGCCGGAUCUCGCUGCCGACGCCGUUGGCCGGUAAGAACCGGUCGGUUCUUUCGUUUUUUUUUUGAUUUGUCGGUUUAGAUUUUAGAUCAGUUUUUUGUUUUUGUUCUAGUCUAAGUAGUAAACGUUCACUGGUUAGAUCGUUUUAAUGAACGGUUUUCGUUCGUUUAGUUCUGUUAACGAACGUUUGUUCCGUAGAUUUUUAUUUUUUUGUUUAUUUUCGUCUAGGGACCUAUCCGUAGUUACUUUUAUCGUAGAUUAGUCCCUGAACUUCAAACCCUCGCUACUUUUUGCUUGUUUAUCCAAAUCCAGUGAAACCAACGCCAAAAUCUUCGUCUUGUUCCCCUCUAUCCAGA
Molecule: long non-coding RNA, 8193 nt
Filed under: Triticum aestivum (bread wheat)
Lineage: Eukaryota; Viridiplantae; Streptophyta; Magnoliopsida; Poales; Poaceae
Description: long non-coding RNA (TAES_LNC023947)
Source: RNAcentral